This 253-nucleotide ribosomal RNA is filed under the name uncultured bacterium. RNAcentral describes it as "partial 16S ribosomal RNA". It matches the Rfam family "Bacterial small subunit ribosomal RNA", at positions 524 to 776 of the family's 1533-position model. The record is from RNAcentral.
UACGUAGGGUGCAGGCGUUAAUCGGAAUUACUGGGCGUAAAGCGUGCGCAGGCGGUCUUUUAAGUCAGAUGUGAAAUCCCCGGGCUUAACCUGGGAACUGCGUUUGAAACUGGAAGGCUAGAGUGUGGCAGAGGGGGGUGGAAUUCCACGUGUAGCAGUGAAAUGCGUAGAUAUGUGGAGGAACACCGAUGGCGCAGGCAGCCCCCUGGGCUAACACUGACGCUCAUGCACGAAAGCGUGGGGAGCAAACAGG